UACGGAGGGUGCAAGCGUUACUCGGAAUUACUGGGCGUAAAGCGUGCGUAGGUGGUUUGUUAAGUCUGAUGUGAAAGCCCUGGGCUCAACCUGGGAAUUGCAUUGGAUACUGGCAGGCUAGAGUGCGGUAGAGGGUAGUGGAAUUCCCGGUGUAGCAGUGAAAUGCGUAGAGAUCGGGAGGAACAUCUGUGGCGAAGGCGACUACCUGGACCAGCACUGACACUGAGGCACGAAAGCGUGGGGAGCAAACAGG
This 253-nucleotide ribosomal RNA is filed under the name uncultured bacterium. RNAcentral's name for it is "partial 16S ribosomal RNA". It matches the Rfam family "Bacterial small subunit ribosomal RNA", at positions 524 to 776 of the family's 1533-position model. The record is from RNAcentral.